ACCAACAGAACGACUUACUCUAGCAGGGCGCUCUCGGAUCCCCGGCUUCACGGCGUGCUCCAGGACGCCUACCCACAAGCUCAGGAUAGGGGUCUCUCCCCGGCCAACCUCGCCCAGGUAGCCCCGGCCCUGGGGCGUUCCCACCGCCCGCGCCGGCCUGGCCAGGAGACUGCGACCCACACCCGCGGGGCCCGCGGACGUAGCACACCCCCUGGUGGCGGCAUCCGGGGAUGGAGCCGGCACCCGACCACUCAUUCCAAGCCCACCAGCGUCCCUUGCAACGCAGGACCCCACCACGAGCGCUCAGGGGUCGAAACCCAAGCAGAGGGCGGCGGGACACCAGAGCGAGGCCAGGCCCCGCUUGUCCGGCUUAGCUUCCCCCAAACUGCUCGAACCCCCGAGCACUGCCCGCCACGCCUCGAGGAAACGCAAGGAGGUGAGCCCAGUGACAACCGGAGGACACGACAGAGUGUCAUCAUGCCGAGCAUGGAAACUUCCACCCCCAGCUCUGGCACCAAGGAGAUUUCAACAGAACCAGAUUUUCCACAUUUCCUGGGCCCGCUGAUAGACCAAGGCCUGGCUAAACAUUUCCUGGCUGUUGUUCCCUUUUGUUAUAAACGGAAAUGCUGCUGCGCAAAGCGGGUGGAGCAGGCUAGCUCCCCUCCAACUUGGCCAAAUUGUGAAUAAACUCAG
This 693-nucleotide long non-coding RNA is filed under the name Chinchilla lanigera (long-tailed chinchilla). RNAcentral's name for it is "lncRNA (ENSCLAG00000025853.1)". The record is from RNAcentral. Lineage: Eukaryota; Metazoa; Chordata; Mammalia; Rodentia; Chinchillidae.